Molecule: long non-coding RNA, 933 nt
Filed under: Homo sapiens (human)
Lineage: Eukaryota; Metazoa; Chordata; Mammalia; Primates; Hominidae
Description: PREDICTED lncRNA (TCONS_00158037)
Source: RNAcentral
CCGCGAUGGCCACUGAUCCUUCUGCUCACCCUCCUCCAGGACUUUGCUCACCUUCUGUGCCGUUAAGGCCUUUGUUGGUUGUCCUCAGGACUCAGUAGGUCUCCUUCAACUGUGACUGAGCAGUCUCUGCAGGCCUAGGCUUUACGUUGCUCUGUGGCCUAAAGAGGCCUCCGUAGACCCGCCCUGCCACACCCUAGGGGCCUCCCUGCCGCCGCCAUGCUUCCGGCCGGCCACGGCAGCUGCCACUCAAAGGCUCUGCAUCCGGGUGGCUUGGCAGGGGUGUCCUCUGGAGAUCCAGCGGUCGGCGGGGUCGGCUGGGAGAGGCUGCCGCCACCAUCAGGUCACCGAGAUAAGGUCUUGCUCUGUUGUCCAGGUUGCAGUGCAGUAGUGCAAUUACAGCUCACUGUAGUCUCAAUCCCCUGGGCUCAAGUGAUCGUCCCUCCUCAGUCUACCAAGUAGCUGGGACUACAGGCAUGCACCACCACACCCAACUAAUUUUUGGACUUGUUGUAGAGGUCUAUGGUUUCUUAGACACGCGUGGAUUCUCACAGCCACCACCACAGACAGUACAAGCAACAGUUCCAAUACUCCAGAGAACGCCCUCAUCUCUCCUCACCCCUGCCUUCUGGCAAGCAAUGAGCUGUUCUCUGUUCCUGUAUUUUUGCCUUUUCUAGAAUGCCAUAUAAAUGGAAUUAUAUAGAAUGUGCCCUUUUGGUACUGGCCUCUUUUGUUCAAAAGAAUAAUACCUUUGAGAUUCAUCCAUGCUGUUGUUUGAAUCAAGCAUGUUAACUUUUAUUGCUGAGUAGUAGUCCAUUGUGUAGAUAUAUUACAGUUUUUUAAAAAUCUACCCCUGUCGAAGGACAUUUGGGUUGUUUUCAGUUCUUGGUGAGGAUGAACAUUUGUGUGCAGAUUUUGUGUGGACUUAAAAUCUUG